CCCCUGGUGGCCCAGUGGUUAGGACUUGGCACUUUCACUGCAGUGGCCCGGGUUCAAUCCCUGGUUGGGGAA
Ovis aries (sheep) is the source of this 72-nucleotide transfer RNA. It matches the Rfam family "tRNA". From Rfam's summary of the family: Transfer RNA (tRNA) molecules are approximately 80 nucleotides in length. Their secondary structure includes four short double-helical elements and three loops (D, anti-codon, and T loops). NCBI's taxonomy places the organism in Eukaryota, Metazoa, Chordata, Mammalia, Artiodactyla, Bovidae. The record is from Rfam.